GACGUAGGGGGCAAGCGUUGUCCGGAAUCAUUGGGCGUAAAGCGCGUGUAGGCGGCUCGAUAAGUCUGCUGUGAAAGUCCAAGGCUCAACCUUGGGAUGCCGGUGGAUACUGUCGAGCUCGAGUCCGGAAGAGGAGUGUGGAAUUCCUGGUGUAGCGGUGAAAUGCGCAGAUAUCAGGAGGAACACCAAUGGCGAAGGCAGCACUCUGGGACGUGACUGACGCUGAGACGCGAAAGCGUGGGGAGCAAACAGG
This 253-nucleotide ribosomal RNA is filed under the name uncultured bacterium. Its description in RNAcentral is "partial 16S ribosomal RNA". It matches the Rfam family "Bacterial small subunit ribosomal RNA", at positions 524 to 776 of the family's 1533-position model. The record is from RNAcentral.